Molecule: long non-coding RNA, 132 nt
Organism: Ornithodoros turicata
Lineage: Eukaryota; Metazoa; Arthropoda; Arachnida; Ixodida; Argasidae
Exons: 4
Source: RefSeq, a predicted model, not a curated record
GGCCGUUGGCUCAACUCGUAGGCAUGCGGAACGCAGAGGACGUGAUCUUCAGAGAGAGGGAACCAGGUGUUGUCCCGGAGCCAAGCAAUGCAGGUGCUCCGCUCCUAGCAGAAGAGAACGAAGAGCAAGAAA